UGAGGGGGACUGCUCCUAGUACGAGAGGACCGGAGUGGACGCAUCACUGGUGUUCGGGUUGUCAUGCCAAUGGCACUGCCCGGUAGCUAAAUGCGGAAGAGAUAAGUGCUGAAAGCAUCUAAGCACGAAACUUGCCCCGAGAUGAGUUCUCCCUGACUCCUUGAGAGUCCUGAAGGAACGUUGAAGACGACGACGUUGAUAGGCCGGGUGUGUAAGCGCAGCGAUGCGUUGAGCUAACCGGUACUAAUGAACCGUGAGGCUUAACCUUACAACGCCGAAG
RNAcentral lists this ribosomal RNA (280 nucleotides) under Escherichia coli. Its description in RNAcentral is "partial 23S ribosomal RNA". It matches the Rfam family "Bacterial large subunit ribosomal RNA", at positions 2663 to 2925 of the family's 2925-position model. The record is from RNAcentral. Lineage: Bacteria; Pseudomonadati; Pseudomonadota; Gammaproteobacteria; Enterobacterales; Enterobacteriaceae.